This 253-nucleotide ribosomal RNA is filed under the name uncultured bacterium. RNAcentral's name for it is "partial 16S ribosomal RNA". It matches the Rfam family "Bacterial small subunit ribosomal RNA", at positions 524 to 776 of the family's 1533-position model. The record is from RNAcentral.
CACGUAGGGUGCAAGCGUUGUCCGGAAUUAUUGGGCGUAAAGAGCUCGUAGGCGGUCUGUCGCGUCGGCUGUGAAAACCCGGGGCUCAACCCCGGGCCUGCAGUCGAUACGGGCAGACUAGAGUGCGGUAGGGGAGACUGGAAUUCCUGGUGUAGCGGUGAAAUGCGCAGAUAUCAGGAGGAACACCGGUGGCGAAGGCGGGUCUCUGGGCCGUAACUGACGCUGAGGAGCGAAAGCGUGGGGAGCGAACAGG